CACGUAGGGGCGAGCGUUAUCCGGAUUCAUUGGGCGUAAAGCGCGCGCAGGCGGCCGCUCAAGCGGGACCUCUAAUCCCGGGGCUCAACCCCGGGCCGGGUCCCGAACUGGGCGGCUCGCGUCAGGUAGGGGGAGGCGGAAUUCCCGGUGUAGCGGUGGAAUGCGCAGAUAUCGGGAGGAACACCGACGGCGAAGGCAGCCUCCUGGGCCUCGACGGACGCUGAGGCGCGAAAGCCGGGGGAGCGAACAGGAUUAGAUACCCCUGUAGUCCCUGAGCGGGCUGGCAAGG
This 289-nucleotide ribosomal RNA is filed under the name uncultured prokaryote. Its description in RNAcentral is "partial 16S ribosomal RNA". It matches the Rfam family "Bacterial small subunit ribosomal RNA", at positions 524 to 820 of the family's 1533-position model. The record is from RNAcentral.